This 237-nucleotide long non-coding RNA is filed under the name Eutrema salsugineum. Its description in RNAcentral is "long non-coding RNA (ESAL_LNC000929)". Lineage: Eukaryota; Viridiplantae; Streptophyta; Magnoliopsida; Brassicales; Brassicaceae. The record is from RNAcentral.
GUCGAAGAACGGCUCGGCAUUUUUAUUCCCAAAACGCCUCACCUGGAAUUGUUUCGCAACGGCCUAAUUCGAUGGUUUAUCCCAUGUCCAGGAGCAAUGAACCUCGUCACUCUCAUCUCCGAAACUGACGAGCUGGGGGGCUAACUGUUGGGGUCGGUUUCACCCCAAGCGGAUAAAACCAUCUCAAAGAUGACUAAGUAUUGGAGAAAACCGAUUUGGCAAGAAGGAACAGCUGCC